Molecule: ribosomal RNA, 34 nt
Filed under: Cladophora albida
Lineage: Eukaryota; Viridiplantae; Chlorophyta; Ulvophyceae; Cladophorales; Cladophoraceae
Also listed under: 5 other names
Description: partial 18S rRNA
Source: RNAcentral
UCUCCGUAGGUGAACCUGCGGAGGGAUCCAUAGC